Molecule: ribosomal RNA, 253 nt
Filed under: uncultured bacterium
Lineage: Bacteria
Description: partial 16S ribosomal RNA
Rfam family: Bacterial small subunit ribosomal RNA
Source: RNAcentral
UACGUAGGGAGCAAGCGUUGUCCGGAAUCAUUGGGCGUAAAGCGCGCGUAGGUGGCCCGGUAAGUCCGCUCUGAAAGUCACAGGCUCAACCUGUGAAAGCGGGUGGAUACUGCCGGGCUAGAGUCCGGAAGAGGCGAGUGGAAUUCCUGGUGUAGCGGUGGAAUGCGCAGAUAUCAGGAGGAACACCAACGGCGAAGGCAGCUCGCUGGGACGGUACUGACACUGAGGCGCGAAAGCCAGGGGAGCGAACGGG